RNAcentral lists this ribosomal RNA (368 nucleotides) under uncultured organism. RNAcentral's name for it is "bacterial SSU rRNA". It matches the Rfam family "Bacterial small subunit ribosomal RNA", at positions 526 to 896 of the family's 1533-position model. The record is from RNAcentral.
CGGAGGGUGCAAGCGUUAUCCGGAUUCACUGGGUUUAAAGGGUGCGUAGGAGGGCAGGUAAGUCAGUGGUGAAAUCUCCGAGCUUAACUUGGAAACUGCCGUUGAUACUAUCUGUCUUGAAUACCGUGGAGAUGAGCGGAAUAUGUCAUGUAGCGGUGAAAUGCUUAGAUAUGACAUAGAACACCAAUUGCGAAGGCAGCUCGUUACACGAAUAUUGACUCUGAGGCACGAAAGCGUGGGGAUCAAACAGGAUUAGAUACCCUGGUAGUCCACGCCCUAAACUAUGGAUACUCGACAUACGCGAUACACAGUGUGUGUCUGAGCGAAAGCAUUAAGUAUCCCACCUGGGAAGUACGACCGCAAGGUUG